GACGAACCGUACGAACGUUAUUCGGAAUCACUGGGCUUAAAGGGUGCGUAGGCUGCUCAGAAAGUUGGGUGUGAAAUCCCUCGGCUCAACCGAGGAACUGCGCCCAAAACUACUGUGCUCGAGGGAGACAGAGGUGAGCGGAACUUCGGGUGGAGCGGUGAAAUGCGUAGAUAUCGGGAGGAACACCUGUGGCGAAAGCGGCUCACUGGACCACAACUGACGCUGAGGCGCGAAAGCGAGGGGAGCAAACAGG
This 253-nucleotide ribosomal RNA is filed under the name uncultured bacterium. RNAcentral's name for it is "partial 16S ribosomal RNA". It matches the Rfam family "Bacterial small subunit ribosomal RNA", at positions 524 to 776 of the family's 1533-position model. The record is from RNAcentral.